RNAcentral lists this ribosomal RNA (1444 nucleotides) under uncultured bacterium. RNAcentral describes it as "bacterial SSU rRNA". It matches the Rfam family "Bacterial small subunit ribosomal RNA". The record is from RNAcentral.
GGCUUAACACAUGCAAGUCGAGGGGCAGCAUAGUCUUAGCUUGCUAAGGCCGAUGGCGACCGGCGCACGGGUGAGUAACACGUAUCCAACCUGCCGUCUACUCUUGGACAGCCUUCUGAAAGGAAGAUUAAUACAAGAUGGCAUCAUGAGUCCGCAUGUUCACAUGAUUAAAGGUAUUCCGGUAGACGAUGGGGAUGCGUUCCAUUAGAUAGUAGGCGGGGUAACGGCCCACCUAGUCUUCGAUGGAUAGGGGUUCUGAGAGGAAGGUCCCCCACAUUGGAACUGAGACACGGUCCAAACUCCUACGGGAGGCAGCAGUGAGGAAUAUUGGUCAAUGGGCGAGAGCCUGAACCAGCCAAGUAGCGUGAAGGAUGACUGCCCUAUGGGUUGUAAACUUCUUUUAUAAAGGAAUAAAGUCGGGUAUGGAUACCCGUUUGCAUGUACUUUAUGAAUAAGGAUCGGCUAACUCCGUGCCAGCAGCCGCGGUAAUACGGAGGAUCCGAGCGUUAUCCGGAUUUAUUGGGUUUAAAGGGAGCGUAGAUGGAUGUUUAAGUCAGUUGUGAAAGUUUGCGGCUCAACCGUAAAAUUGCAGUUGAUACUGGAUAUCUUGAGUGCAGUUGAGGCAGGCGGAAUUCGUGGUGUAGCGGUGAAAUGCUUAGAUAUCACGAAGAACUCCGAUUGCGAAGGCAGCCUGCUAAGCUGCAACUGACAUUGAGGCUCGAAAGUGUGGGUAUCAAACAGGAUUAGAUACCCUGGUAGUCCACACGGUAAACGAUGAAUACUCGCUGUUUGCGAUAUACUGCAAGCGGCCAAGCGAAAGCGUUAAGUAUUCCACCUGGGGAGUACGCCGGCAACGGUGAAACUCAAAGGAAUUGACGGGGGCCCGCACAAGCGGAGGAACAUGUGGUUUAAUUCGAUGAUACGCGAGGAACCUUACCCGGGCUUAAAUUGCAGAUGAAUUACGGUGAAAGCCGUAAGCCGCAAGGCAUCUGUGAAGGUGCUGCAUGGUUGUCGUCAGCUCGUGCCGUGAGGUGUCGGCUUAAGUGCCAUAACGAGCGCAACCCUUGUUGUCAGUUACUAACAGGUUCCGCUGAGGACUCUGACAAGACUGCCAUCGUAAGAUGUGAGGAAGGUGGGGAUGACGUCAAAUCAGCACGGCCCUUACGUCCGGGGCUACACACGUGUUACAAUGGGGGGUACAGAGGGCCGCUACCACGCGAGUGGAUGCCAAUCCCCAAAACCUCUCUCAGUUCGGACUGGAGUCUGCAACCCGACUCCACGAAGCUGGAUUCGCUAGUAAUCGCGCAUCAGCCACGGCGCGGUGAAUACGUUCCCGGGCCUUGUACACACCGCCCGUCAAGCCAUGGGAGCCGGGGGUACCUGAAGUGCGUAACCGCGAGGAGCGCCCUAGGGUAAAACUGGUGACUGGGGCUAAGUCAUAACA